GUCCUGCAGAGAAAUGGAGGAGUGGAGUGUGGCCAAAUCUCUUUUCACUGCCCUGAGCUGAAGGUUGUUUGCACAAAAACUUUUUUUUUCUAGUGAAGUGUUGAAAGAAACUCUAAUGUGUUUUUAAAGGGUGCUAGAAACCGUCGAAGACGCAUUAUGAUGCUCAGGGUUUGAUCUGUCAUAAGUCAGACCACCAACACCGACCUAAAGAAACCUAUCCACCAAAAACUAUGUCCUCGUGACAGAUCGGCCUGUCACGAUGUAAUGCUACUGGCAGGAUACAGAUUAUGCUCGUCCAUCUGGGGGAGUCUGAGCACAUGACACAGGCCUGUGGACUGAAACUUAAUCUCUGUAACUUUUUACCCUAAUAGAAUCAUCAACUAUUUGUUUUUAUUGUAUUGGCUCCAACUGAUUAUUCUGUAAAGAUGAGUUUUGAAACUUUUUUAAAUGUAUAAAGUCUGCACCGGUUUAACCGCAUCACAUUUUUUUUUAAAACUCUUUCUUCGGGGUCAUUUCUCUCUGACGCUCGUCCUUUAGACACUGUACCGGUCCUGGUUCUGAUUAACCUUGUCGUCACUUUGAUCUCCACUAAAGAGACUUUGCAUUUCUCAGUGAACUGUUAAGUAUCAUUGAGGUUGUUUAGCUUUCAAGAAUCACCUCCUUAUGUCUGAAACACGUCUGUCUACAGUAAAUAUCAGCUGCUCCGAAAUGAUACAUGUCAACAAAUGAAAUAACACGUUCAAUCGAACAGUUUGUUAGCUGAAGCCUCAUUAGCAUCUGUGCCGACAGUCAUAUGAUGUUAGCGUACUUUAACACGAAGCUAAUUCUGACCCAGUCGCCUGCAUUAGUAGUGACCCGGUAAAGCUCAGUUCUACGCGUUCCGAACCAGAAGUGUUCGGCCCGUACCGAUAAGCAGCUAACUAAACAUUAUCGUUAGCAUCGUUCUGUAAGCGAUCACUCCUGCAGCUAAUUGCUAUGCUCUGGAUGCUGAUCAGUAACGUUGGUUAGCAUUAGCCAGCAGCUAUCAGGCCAACUGUUGCUAAUUCUGCUCAACUUGUCUUUACAGCGUUGUUCCAAGCUAACUUGAACAGCGUCGCAUUUAGCGGUUUGACCACGAGUCGCCGUGUGAUACGGACUUACCCGCCAAAACAUUACUGGGUCUGAAAUCCUGUUUUAUUUCCACUUUGACUCAUCCCAUUGAUUUAAUCUCCUCUCCAUUUUAGCUAUGGCUAACGGGCACCAGGGGGCGCUGUUCACGCGAUGGGGGCGGGGGUGUCUUCUUCUUCUGUUAUUGUUUUCCUGUCUGACGAAUGCCAUAAGCGCCUCCUGCUGUUUGAACGACUUCAGGAAUUCAGGAACAAUUCUUUAAAGUGGGCAGAAACAUGACGCAUUGUUUUUUUUUUUUUUUUUAAAUCCGUCUGUUUAUAUUUGGGCUUACGUCAGUCUUCCACCUGCUGUUUGAUCUAAUGCUUCGUCACAGUCAUUGCUUUGAUACCAGCAGCAUCCUCACUGCUUCACUAUCCUGUAAAUCUUUCUAGCACACUUUACACUUGAACCAUACAAAUCAUAUAUACAAAAACUGCUAAUUACAUGGAUAGAUUGAUUUACAGCUAAAAGGUACUGCAACUAUAUUAUUCAAAAUAAAAAACGUUCUGAUAAUAGAAUGAAUUCUUGUUGAAAUAUAACCAGCAAUAAAUCAUGUCGACAUUAGUGGACAGAUAAAUAAUCCAAAUUUCCAUCCAUCCAUCCAUCCAUUUUCCAAAGAAGAAGCCAAUCAACCUAAUGCACGUCUGUGGACUGUGGGAGGAAGCCGAGAACCCGGAGAGAACCCACGCAAACACAGGGAGAACGUGCAAACUUCACACAGAAAGGAACCUCCGGGAAUCGAACCCGGAACCUUCUCACUGUGAGGCGAACCGCACCAACGUGCCGCCCUCCAAAUUUCCUCCAAAGAUAAAAUCAAUACUUUUUACAAGUAACUAAACAGUAUGGUUCUUUACGAGGUACUUGAUGUUAUCGCCUUUUUUAACUUCAAGGGUUUCCUCCUAUAAAAAGGACAGGCGUGAUUUUCCUGCAGUAGUCGGUUGUCUGACUUUCCGUCAUAUUGGUUUCAAUAAUGAUUUUUGCACUUACAAUGACUGACCAGUUAAUGGCAGUGUAACAGACUAAGGCACUAGCGUCCAAUGAAGUGAAGUAUAUGCGACUUCUCUAUCAGAACCCAUGCUUUAACAAGAAAACAGCUUUUAAAUAGCUGUCAACUGUAGUUACUACUAUGUAUGAAAGGGUUAACAUGACUGACAGAAAACCAGAAACAUGUGCUGCUUCAGAACUUUAUAUAAUGGUUUGAUUAUUAUCAUCAGUGAGCAACAGAUGAAACAGAUGAGUUACAUUUAAACAGACAGAUCAACAUUAAACAUCUCAAUAACACAAAAAGUGAUUUGCACUAUUUUGGUAGUGACCGGUGUUUAAUUUUUUUUUCACUAUCAAUCUUUAGAUCUGAUGUUUGUAGAUUUAGGUUUACUUAGAACAUCUGCGUGAAAAGUAAAAAGCAAAGUCGACAAAAUGUUAGAUGAAGUUUGUUAAACAUGUAAGAACCUGAGACCAGCUGAUUACUUAUUAUUACUUGUAAGAUGAACACCGCUUGAAUUAAAGUGAUUAAUGAUUAAAUAAAUUUAAAAGAACAACUGCUGCAUGUUUUUCAUCACUGAUUUCACAGCCAGAUGUCAGAUGUACAGUCUCCUCCAGGAUACCUCAUCUCAUGGGCCAGAACCGGACCACCUGGUUCUUUACCGAAGUCCACUAGGAAGUUUUCAUUCAGGGACAGACCUCCG
This is a long non-coding RNA of Betta splendens (Siamese fighting fish), 2831 nucleotides long. RefSeq lists it as uncharacterized. NCBI's taxonomy places the organism in Eukaryota, Metazoa, Chordata, Actinopteri, Anabantiformes, Osphronemidae. The transcript is spliced from 2 exons. The record is from RefSeq and is a predicted model, not a curated record.